AUUGAACGCUGGCGGCAUGCCUUACACAUGCAAGUCGAACGGUAACAGGGAGCUUGCUCCGCUGACGAGUGGCGAACGGGUGAGUAAUGCAUCGGAACGUACCCAGUAGUGGGGGAUAACGCAGCGAAAGCUGUGCUAAUACCGCAUACGCACUGAGGUGGAAAGCAGGGGACCUUCGGGCCUUGUGCUAUUGGAGCGGCCGAUGUCAGAUUAGCUAGUUGGUGGGGUAAAAGCUCACCAAGGCGACGAUCUGUAGCUGGUCUGAGAGGAUGAUCAGCCACACCGGGACUGGGACACGGCCCAGAAUCCUACGGGAGGCAGCAGUGGGGAAUUUUGGACAAUGGGGGCAACCCUGAUCCAGCCAUGCCGCGUGAGUGAAGAAGGCCUUCGGGUUGUAAAGCUCUUUCGGCCGGGAAGAAAUCGCCAUCUCUAACAUAGGUGGUGGAUGACGGUACCGGAAUAAGAAGCACCGGCUAACUACGUGCCAGCCGCCGCGGUAA
RNAcentral lists this ribosomal RNA (500 nucleotides) under uncultured bacterium. RNAcentral's name for it is "partial 16S ribosomal RNA". It matches the Rfam family "Bacterial small subunit ribosomal RNA", at positions 30 to 523 of the family's 1533-position model. The record is from RNAcentral.